RNAcentral lists this ribosomal RNA (862 nucleotides) under uncultured bacterium. RNAcentral's name for it is "bacterial SSU rRNA". It matches the Rfam family "Bacterial small subunit ribosomal RNA", at positions 31 to 864 of the family's 1533-position model. The record is from RNAcentral.
GGGGACGGGCGGCGUGCUACACAUGCAGUCGAACGAAGAGCGAUGGAAGCUUGCUUCUAUCAAUCUUAGUGGCGAACCCGUUAGUAACGCGUAAUCAACCUGCCCUUCAGAGGGGGACAACAGUUGGAAACGACUGCUAAUACCGCAUACGAUCCAAUCUCGGCAUCGAGACUGGAUGAAAGGUGGCCUCUAUUUAUAAGCUAUCACUGAAGGAGGGGAUUGCGUCUGAUUAGCUAGUUGGAGGGGUAACGGCCCACCAAGGCGAUGACCAGUAGCCGGUCUGAGAGGAUGAACGGCCACAUUGGGACUGAGACACGGCCCAGACUCCUACGGGAGGCAGCAGUGGGGAAUCUUCCGCAAUGGACGAAAGUCUGACGGAGCAACGCCGCGUGAGUGAUGACGGCCUUCGGGUUGUAAAGCUCUGUUAAUCGGGACGAAUGGUUCUUGUGCAAAUAGUGCGAGGAUUUGACGGUACCGGAAUAGAAAGCCACGGCUAACUACGUGCCAGCAGCCGCGGUAAUACGUAGGUGGCAAGCGCUGUCCGGAAUUAUUGGGCGUAAAGCGCGCGCAGGCGGAUUGGUCAGUCUGUCUUAAAAGUUCGGGGCUUAACCCCGUGAUGGGAUGGAAACUGCCAAUCUAGAGUAUCGGAGAGGAAAGUGAAAUUCCUAGUGUAGCGGUGAAAUGCGUAUAUAUUAAGAAGAACACCUGUGGCAAAGGCUACUUUCUGGACUAAAACUGACGCUGAGGCACAAAAGCCAGAUCAGCGAACAGGAAUAGAUAGGCCGGUCGGCCUGGACGCAAACGAUCCACACUAGGAACGAGAGGUAUCGAUCUCUGUCUGAGCUAGAGUAAACGAUAUAAG